GACUGAACACACACACAUAUACUAAAAUUGGAAUGAUACAGAGAAGAUUAGCAUGGCCCCUGUGAAAGGAUGACACGCAAAUUCGUGAAGCGUCGCAUAUUUAA
Oryctolagus cuniculus (rabbit) is the source of this 104-nucleotide small nuclear RNA. Lineage: Eukaryota; Metazoa; Chordata; Mammalia; Lagomorpha; Leporidae. The record is from Ensembl.